RNAcentral lists this ribosomal RNA (229 nucleotides) under uncultured bacterium. RNAcentral describes it as "partial 16S ribosomal RNA". It matches the Rfam family "Bacterial small subunit ribosomal RNA", at positions 568 to 796 of the family's 1533-position model. The record is from RNAcentral.
UCCGUAGGUGGAUUAAUAAGUCAGAGGUGAAAUCCUGCAGCUCAACUGUAGAACUGCCUUUGAUACUGUUAAUCUUGAGUCAUUAUGAAGUGGUUAGAAUGAGUAGUGUAGCGGUGAAAUGCAUAGAUAUUACUCAGAAUACCGAUUGCGAAGGCAGAUCACUAAUAAUGUACUGACACUGAGGGACGAAAGCGUGGGGAGCGAACAGGAUUAGAUACCCUGGUAGUCC